This is a non-coding RNA of Tricholoma furcatifolium, 94 nucleotides long. Lineage: Eukaryota; Fungi; Basidiomycota; Agaricomycetes; Agaricales; Tricholomataceae. The record is from the annotation of a GenBank genome assembly.
GGUAACAUGGCCGAGUGGUCUAAGGCGUUGGAUUUAAGCAAUCUUGAUUCCCAAUGGGUGUGAACCCGCGCGAGUUCAAACCUCGCUGUUACCA